NNCUGGUCCCAGUGCAGUGGUGUUUAUAACUCAUCAAUCAUAGCCAGAACAGAUUUCUUUAUUCCUUCUUCACUCCCACUGCUUCACUUGACUACCCUUAA
Pan paniscus (pygmy chimpanzee) is the source of this 101-nucleotide unclassified non-coding RNA. It matches the Rfam family "Y RNA". Rfam says of the family: Y RNAs are components of the Ro ribonucleoprotein particle (Ro RNP), in association with Ro60 and La proteins. The Y RNAs and Ro60 and La proteins are well conserved, but the function of the Ro RNP is not known. The record is from Ensembl. Lineage: Eukaryota; Metazoa; Chordata; Mammalia; Primates; Hominidae.